UACACGUCUCACCUGCAGCUGACCUGAACAUAGAUAGCGUAAAAGAUUGAUAUUAUCUGCGCCAGUCACUGUAUUGUUUGGGGUACUGGAUCACAACACAUUUAUAUCUAAAGGCAGCAGUGGGCCAUGGAUACCAUCCUUGUUGUGAUUGGAACCCUGCUAGCGGCCAUAUGUCUGAAGAAAGUGUUUGGUGUGAUACAGAAAUACAGAGUGAAUAUUAACUUAUAUUACGAGAAGAAAAUACAACCGAUCGGGAAGUUCCAUCCAAUAUGGGGACAUCUUUACCUGUUUUCAGAUUUUAACCGCCUGAUAGAUGUCUGCGGUGAGGUGGUGGCACAAACAAAAUGUCGAAUCGUGUCUUACUGGAUAAUGGGUUUCUAUCCCGUACUUAACGCUUGUCACUCUACCACUGCUAAAGUGGUUCUGAAAUCUUCGGAACCUAAACCAAAGCACCUAGGUGGAGGAUACAAUAGUCUUAUGGACUG
Long non-coding RNA from Pecten maximus, 485 nucleotides. RefSeq lists it as uncharacterized. The record is from RefSeq and is a predicted model, not a curated record. The transcript has 3 exons. Lineage: Eukaryota; Metazoa; Mollusca; Bivalvia; Pectinida; Pectinidae.